CGGUUUAUUACGAAAUUAAAAAUUGCUAUCCAUCAUACCAUGCGCAGUUUUAGUUGUCAAUACUGUAAAAACAGUAAAAAUGGUCCAAUAACGUGUUAGGAGUAGAGAAUUUUGAAGAAGUUGUUGAGAAUUGGCAUAUAAAGUGCUAUCAGACUUUGUUUCAAUAGUCGUUAACUUUUAAAUAUACAUAAACUGUCAAAAUAGGAAAAAAUUGAAGCUGUGCAUUGUUGAUCAUUGUAGUUAAAUUCUUGGCAUCCUAACCUCACAUUUACAGAUAUGCCUCGACAUCAUGAUGAGAAGUCCAGAUGUGAAUCAAGUCAUUCUUCAAAAUAUGAUCAUUCCAAGGACAAAAGUAACCAUGAUAGAAUCAAGUCAGACAGUAAUAAGGACAAACAUUCAAAACACCAUAAAAGGAGCAGACAUGAGUCUGACUCUAAAUCAGAUGACAGUACUGAAAAACAGAGGCUUAGAGAUUUACAGGAAAGAGAUGAACUUGCUGAUCGUCUUAAAAAGAAAGCUAAAGAGAAGAUAUGAAAUGUUGCUCAGCCAUCAGGCCCUGGAUAGUGUGACGUGUUGCGCUAUGGAUGACGCUCCCCCCCCCCAGCCAUGACGUGCCGAGCGGAGCCGAAGUUAGCAGAGUCCCAGCAUACUGGUCGCUCUGCAACGCGAGUCAGCAGCGGUGACGAAACAGGACGCCGCAGUUACUACGUAGCGGUAAACAAUUCCCAACAGUGUUGCUAGGCUAUCGGCUACCAGGGCGGCAGACAACAGUAUGCCGGUUACGUGGCUGUUUUCUAUGCUGUCUGGAACGAGGCUAAAUAAGGAGCAGUGAAGACUAUUCACAGUUAGUUCCGAGUUAGCCACCAGUUAGUUACAGUUCCCAAGUUACGUGUUGAGUUACGAGCUAGCCAGCAGUGAGUAAGUCAACCAGUCAGUUGCGGUCUAGCAUUCGCAGGAGUGAAUGAAAGCAGUUGAAGUAUUUGUGAUACUGCCGUUGGCAGUAAUUUUGAGCUUGUAAAUUGUGUUAUUGUAAGAGCGAAUGUGAAAUAAAAUUCGCUAUAUCCAGUAAGUUGUGUAGUUAUUUGUCAUGUUAUACGCCCAACAUGUGACAAUAUUAUGAGUAUCCAUGGCAAUGAUCAAUAAUGAACAAAACAGCAUGCAGCUGAUAAAAUAAGCAUUCACACUACAACCUUAACAUUCUCCUCUGUACAUGACUCAACUGUGCAAAUUACUUGUCAAGAUUUCAAACAAUUUUAUUCAUCUUAAAUUACACUCUAAAGCUACUUAAUUUAUUUUUUGUAGUAUUACCUUUCCUUCAAUGCAGAUGCAAAGGCUCCAUCACCACAACUCUCGUAUCCGCAGCCUAAUUUGUGAAAAAAGUGCAGAAUGUGAUGCACAGGUUGGCAAUAUGAGAGGAAAUGGAACAGCACAUAUCACAACCCUUACACUCCAUCCUAAAAUACUUCAAUCAUUAGAAAUUUUACUUAUGGUGAAAAUAUAUGUGCACUACACUUCCCUACAAGUGUAAUUUUAUCUCCUUCAAUAUGC
Cryptotermes secundus is the source of this 1548-nucleotide long non-coding RNA. RefSeq lists it as uncharacterized. NCBI's taxonomy places the organism in Eukaryota, Metazoa, Arthropoda, Insecta, Blattodea, Kalotermitidae. The record is from RefSeq and is a predicted model, not a curated record. The transcript has 3 exons.